Molecule: ribosomal RNA, 865 nt
Filed under: uncultured bacterium
Lineage: Bacteria
Description: bacterial SSU rRNA
Rfam family: Bacterial small subunit ribosomal RNA
Source: RNAcentral
CAGUCGAACGAGUUCUCGUUGAUGAUCGGUGCUUGCACCGAGAUUCAACAUGGAACGAGUGGCGGACGGGUGAGUAACACGUGGGUAACCUGCCCUUAAGUGGGGGAUAACAUUUGGAAACAGAUGCUAAUACCGCAUAGAUCCAAGAACCGCAUGGUUCUUGGCUGAAAGAUGGCGUAAGCUAUCGCUUUUGGAUGGACCCGCGGCGUAUUAGCUAGUUGGUGAGGUAAUGGCUCACCAAGGCGAUGAUACGUAGCCGAACUGAGAGGUUGAUCGGCCACAUUGGGACUGAGACACGGCCCAAACUCCUACGGGAGGCAGCAGUAGGGAAUCUUCCACAAUGGACGCAAGUCUGAUGGAGCAACGCCGCGUGAGUGAAGAAGGCUUUCGGGUCGUAAAACUCUGUUGUUGGAGAAGAAUGGUCGGCAGAGUAACUGUUGUCGGCGUGACGGUAUCCAACCAGAAAGCCACGGCUAACUACGUGCCAGCAGCCGCGGUAAUACGUAGGUGGCAAGCGUUAUCCGGAUUUAUUGGGCGUAAAGCGAGCGCAGGCGGUUUUUUAAGUCUGAUGUGAAAGCCCUCGGCUUAACCGAGGAAGCGCAUCGGAAACUGGGAAACUUGAGUGCAGAAGAGGACAGUGGAACUCCAUGUGUAGCGGUGAAAUGCGUAGAUAUAUGGAAGAACACCAGUGGCGAAGGCGGCUGUCUGGUCUGCAACUGACGCUGAGGCUCGAAAGCAUGGGUAGCGAACAGGAUUAGAUACCCUGGUAGUCCAUGCCGUAAACGAUGAAUGCUAGGUGUUGGAGGGUUUCCGCCCUUCAGUGCCGCAGCUAACGCAUUAAGCAUUCCGCCUGGGGAGUACGACC